ACACGCUGGCGGCAGGCUACACACUGCAAGGUUUGAACGCGCCUUCGGGCGAGCGGCGGACGGGUUAGUAACGCGUGGGAACGUGCCCAGAUCUACGGAAUAGCCACUGGAAACGGUGAGUAAUACCGUAUACGCCCUUCGGGGGAAAGAUUUAUCGGAUUUGGAUCGGCCGCGUUAGAUUAGUAGUUGGUGGGGUAACGGCUACCAAGCCUACGAUCUAUAGCUGGUUUUAGAGGAUGAUCAGCAACACUGGGACUGAGACACGGCCCAGACUCCUACGGGAGGCAGCAGUGGGGAAUCUUGUGACAAUGGGGGCAACCCUGAUCCACCCAUGCCGCUGUGAGUGACAGAAGGCCCUAGGGUCGUAAAACUCUUUCGCCUGUGAUGAUAACUGACAGUAGCAGGUAAAGAAACCCCGGAUAACUCCGUGCCAGCAGCCCGCGGUAAUACAGGAGGGGGUUAGCCGUAGUUCGGAAUUACUGGGCGUAAAGCGCACGUACGCGGAUUAGAAAGUUAGAGGUGAAAUCCCGGGGCUCAACCCGGAACUGCCUUUAAGAAACUAACUAGUCUAGAGUCCGAGAGAGGUGAGUGGAAUUCCGAGUGUAAGGUGACAUUCCGGAAGAUAUUCGGGAGGAACAA
RNAcentral lists this ribosomal RNA (639 nucleotides) under uncultured Alphaproteobacteria bacterium. RNAcentral's name for it is "bacterial SSU rRNA". It matches the Rfam family "Bacterial small subunit ribosomal RNA", at positions 31 to 709 of the family's 1533-position model. Lineage: Bacteria; Pseudomonadati; Pseudomonadota; Alphaproteobacteria. The record is from RNAcentral.